UUCAGCUAGUCUUUAUAUUCUAACACAAACAACAUGGCUGUUACUUCUAUGCUAUAGUUAGAGUCGAAUCUUCCUUCAAAUUUGAAGAAACAAAUGUAUUGCAAACUGCGAUAGUUCAUAACAUGGCACUAAUGAGAGGAGAAGUACAAGGAGUUGGCAAACACAUCCAUUCAUGUUAUUAACAAAAAAACAGCAUACACUGUUCACAUAAACCAACUCAUCCAUUUUCCAUCAUCACUUCUCACACCACUUUCUCGCUAACAAGAAGGUUAUUGUACCACUUUCUCCAUAACAAGAAGCUUAUUGUCAUUACUGGCUACGGGCACUGACACUAUCAACAGAAAGUUAAUUGAUGCUAAAUUGAUUAAGCAUCUGCAAUUUCAGCAGAUUCAGUAGCAGCAGCUAGGACAAGCUCUGGGUGGAUCUUCCCUGCAGCAUUAUUUUUAUCCACAGCAUUGGGAAGCCCCAGUGAUCUCAAGGCCAAAUGUGCUGCCUUCUGCCCUGAUAUCAUCAUAGCUCCAAAUGUUGGACCCUGCAUUUUCCAAUAUGCCCCAAAACAAUUAGUUUCUUGAUUUCAAUUUUCAUUAAAGAAACAACUCUUCUUGGCUCCACCGGCCAAAGCUUACAAAUAAAAGCCAGUCCAGAUAAGAAAAGGAGGUAGUCUAAUAAAACACCUCAACAAUGAAAUCAAAAGCUCAACCACUCCAUAAACCAAACUAGUAAAACCCAUCAAUAGAAGUUUUCUUUUAACAUUGCUCCUCUAAUCAGACUAGUUUUAAGUUGGCUUCUCUCAAAUAGAUCAAAAGUAUGUGCAGGUAAUUAUCACCGCCCUCCAGAUAAAAAAAACACACGCACAAAUAAAGUAACCAAAAGAAAAGUUGCAAAAGGGACAACAAAGAUGCCACUGAGCAUAAUGGAUUACUAAAUGUUAAAGAGACUAUUGGGUCCAUGAGACCAUGACCCUUUAUAAAGAGAGUUGUCACUUAUCUCAUCAGACAUGACUUCCAUUUCAGUCCUAUAUCAUCUUAUCAGUAUGCUGUAUAUAAUAUCUGCUAAGAGUCCCCAAAAUAGUUUGAUUAGUGGUUUUCAAACAUCAAAAGUUGAGAAUUUACCAU
Molecule: long non-coding RNA, 1115 nt
Filed under: Lotus japonicus
Lineage: Eukaryota; Viridiplantae; Streptophyta; Magnoliopsida; Fabales; Fabaceae
Description: long non-coding RNA (LJAP_LNC001558)
Source: RNAcentral